CGCCCCACCCGCCCCUCCCGCCUGUCUCGCAGCCUCGCAGUCGCCGCCGCCCGCGAGACCAAGUGCUGACCUCCUUUGCGGAGGAACCUGUAACGUGGCGGGACCCACUCAGAUCAUUUUACACCACAAUGUUGCUGCUGCCUAAGGAAAAAAAUGUCUCUUCAGCAGUCCUAAUGACCUCUAGAAAGGGUAAUUUGAUUCUUACAAUACAGUUUUCAUUUGCCCUAGUGGUUAUAAGAAAUUUUCUCUGUGAUACUAAGGUUAUUUUUUCCACAAUCAUAAAUAUUGUGUACAAAUUUGCUUUUCACCUUCUGUAUACUUAGUAGAUUUCUUCCAGAAAUUAGUUCUCUAGCAUUUAUUAGCUUAAUUGUGAAUAUUCUGGCCAGUUCACUUUAAUAAUUUAAGAAAAGAGGGUUUCUUUAUUUUUUUAGAAUGUUUGUUUUGAGACAGGGUCUCGAGCUAUGUAUUUCAGGCUGGCGAAGAUCCUCCUCCCUCAGCUUUGAGCAGUAGUAUUUUAGGUGUGCACCACCAUAGCCAGCAGGAGGGCUUUUUUUAAACCAACCAGAAACUAGAAUUCAUGUUGCCUCUGUAAAAAUGAGUUUCAUGGCAGCAUUCUUGUUUUGCUCUCUGUUCUUUCCUCAGCUCUUUUCUUUUCUCUCUUUUUUUUUCCUCUCAGUACCAGGGAUCAAACUCAGGAUUUUGCGUUUGCCGGGCAAGCACAGCACCACUGAGCUAAAUCCCUGGCUGUUCUCUGUUCGUAAAAGUUACAUUUCCGGGGAUUUAGCUCAGUGGCACCGAGCCUGCCUCAUAAGCGCAAGGUCCUGUGUUCAAUCCUCAGUACCAAAAAAAAAAAGUGACAUUUCCAAAAAUAAUCUAAAUUGUGUUUGUUUGUUCUUGUUAAAGGACUGUCAUUGCCAGGUCAUAGGCAUAGAUGAACAGAACUUCCUGGGAGGGGAACCACCCAGAUCAGAUAUCUAGUUCCUUUUUAAAAAAAUUUUUUGGUACCUGCAAUUGAAUUCGGGUCCUCGCACUUUCGAGGCAGGCAGCGGAACCACUGAGGGCCAGAUCAGAUAUCUAAAGCAG
This 1083-nucleotide long non-coding RNA is filed under the name Heterocephalus glaber (naked mole-rat). RNAcentral describes it as "lncRNA (ENSHGLG00100044087.1)". The record is from RNAcentral. Lineage: Eukaryota; Metazoa; Chordata; Mammalia; Rodentia; Bathyergidae.